AUUGAACGCUGGCGGCAGGCCUAACACAUGCAAGUCGAGCGGAUGAAGGGAGCUUGCUCCUGGAUUCAGCGGCGGACGGGUGAGUAAUGCCUAGGAAUCUGCCUGGUAGCGGGGGAUAACGUCCGGAAACGGGCGCUAAUACCGCAUACGUCCUGAGGGAGAAAGUGGGGGAUCCUCGGACCUCACGCUAUCAGAUGAGCCUAGGUCGGAUUAGCUAGUUGGUGGGGUAAAGGCCUACCAAGGCGACGAUCCGUAACUGGUCUGAGAGGAUGAUCAGUCACACUGGAACUGAGACACGGUCCAGACUCCUACGGGAGGCAGCAGUGGGGAAUAUUGGACAAUGGGCGAAAGCCUGAUCCAGCCAUGCCGCGUGUGUGAAGAAGGUCUUCGGAUUGUAAAGCACUUUAAGUUGGGAGGAAGGGCAGUAAGUUAAUACCUUGCUGUUUUGACGUUACCAACAGAAUAAGCACCGGCUAACUUCGUG
Molecule: ribosomal RNA, 484 nt
Filed under: uncultured bacterium
Lineage: Bacteria
Description: partial 16S ribosomal RNA
Rfam family: Bacterial small subunit ribosomal RNA
Source: RNAcentral